RNAcentral lists this ribosomal RNA (253 nucleotides) under uncultured bacterium. Its description in RNAcentral is "partial 16S ribosomal RNA". It matches the Rfam family "Bacterial small subunit ribosomal RNA", at positions 524 to 776 of the family's 1533-position model. The record is from RNAcentral.
UACGUAGGGUGCAAGCGUUGUCCGGAAUUAUUGGGCGUAAAGAGCUCGUAGGCGGUUUGUCUCGUCUGCUGUGAAAACUCGGGGCUUAACUCCGGGCCUGCAGUGGGUACGGGCAGACUAGAGUGCGGUAGGGGAGACUGGAAUUCCUGGUGUAGCGGUGAAAUGCGCAGAUAUCAGGAGGAACACCGGUGGCGAAGGCGGGUCUCUGGGCCGUAACUGACGCUGAGGAGCGAAAGCGUGGGGAGCGAACAGG